RNAcentral lists this ribosomal RNA (253 nucleotides) under uncultured bacterium. RNAcentral's name for it is "partial 16S ribosomal RNA". It matches the Rfam family "Bacterial small subunit ribosomal RNA", at positions 524 to 776 of the family's 1533-position model. The record is from RNAcentral.
UACGUAGGGUGCGAGCGUUAAUCGGAAUUACUGGGCGUAAAGUGUGCGCAGGUGGCCGCGCAAGUCGAGUGUGAAAUCCCCGAGCUUAACUUGGGAAUUGCGCUCGAAACUACGUGGCUCGAGUGUGGCAGAGGAAGGUGGAAUUCCACGUGUAGCGGUGAAAUGCGUAGAGAUGUGGAGGAACACCUAUGGCGAAGGCAGCUCGCUGGGACGUUACUGACGCUGAGACGCGAAAGCGUGGGGAGCAAACAGG